Long non-coding RNA from Diceros bicornis minor, 557 nucleotides. RefSeq lists it as uncharacterized. The record is from RefSeq and is a predicted model, not a curated record. The transcript has 3 exons. NCBI's taxonomy places the organism in Eukaryota, Metazoa, Chordata, Mammalia, Perissodactyla, Rhinocerotidae.
CAAGAGGCUUUUGGAUAGAAGUCUAGAGCUGAGAAGUAAGAUCUAGACUGAAAACUAACUGUUAAGUAUGUAGGGAGAAAUUAAAGUCUUGAGUAUACAUGAAAUAGACUUAGCAGACAACCUAGGAGUGUGCAAUGAAGAAUUUAAAUUAAUUUUUGGCUAGGUAGAGGAAGAUGAGCUGGCUAAGGAGUUGCAGAUAUCAGAUGGGUGUUGUGCAAUGGAAGACAAAGGCAUAAAUAAUUCAAGGAAGGAGUGUGUUGAUGCGAAUCCAGACACUGAUUAGAAAAUGGCAAGUUCCAAUAUCUGAUCCAAGAAACCUCAACAAGAGAAGCAAAAAAUAUUCCUUCUUCCUGGAAAGCUGUAGAAAGACAGCCACUGUCCUGGGGAAGGACAUGGUCCUGGUUGGGAAGACCUGGCCCGGUGCACCCCGAGGGUCCCAGUGUCCCUGCUGGUCAGGAGGAGCUGCACUUGUGGUCUCCAGAGUGUGACGGCUCAUCACCAAGGGCAUGGUGGCUGAAGAGAAGAAACAGACUAUUUUGGAGAACCUUCCUGAGAUU